Molecule: ribosomal RNA, 631 nt
Filed under: uncultured Actinomycetes bacterium
Lineage: Bacteria; Bacillati; Actinomycetota; Actinomycetes
Description: bacterial SSU rRNA
Rfam family: Bacterial small subunit ribosomal RNA
Source: RNAcentral
AGUCCACGCCGUAAACGUUGGGCGCUAGAUGUGGGCCACAUUCCACGUGGUCCGUGUCGCAGCUAACGCACUAAGCGCCCCGCCUGGGGAGUACGCCCGCAAGGCUAAAACUCAAAGGAAUUGACGGGGGCCCGCACAAGCGGCGGAGCAUGCGGAUUAAUUCGAUGCAACGCGAAGAACCUUACCAAGGCUUGACAUAUAGAGGAAACGUGCAGAAAUGUACGCCCCAGCAAUGGUCUCUAUACAGGUGGUGCAUGGUUGUCGUCAGCUCGUGUCGUGAGAUGUUGGGUUAAGUCCCGCAACGAGCGCAACCCUCAUUCUGUGUUGCCAGCAUUAAGUUGGGGACUCACAGGAGACUGCCGUGGUUAACACGGAGGAAGGUGGGGAUGACGUCAAAUCAUCAUGCCCCUUAUGUCUUGGGCUGCACGCAUGCUACAAUGGCUGGUACAAACGGCUGCAAUACCGCAAGGUUGAGCGAAUCCGAAAAAGCCAGUCUCAGUUCGGAUUGGGGUCUGCAACUCGACCCCAUGGAGUCGGAGUUGCUAGUAAUCGUAGAUCAGCAACGCUACGGUGAAUACGUUCCCGGGGCUUGUACACACCGCCCGUCACGUCACGAAAGUCGGUAACACCC